RNAcentral lists this ribosomal RNA (250 nucleotides) under uncultured Chroococcidiopsis sp. RNAcentral's name for it is "partial 16S ribosomal RNA". It matches the Rfam family "Bacterial small subunit ribosomal RNA", at positions 796 to 1044 of the family's 1533-position model. Lineage: Bacteria; Bacillati; Cyanobacteriota; Cyanophyceae; Chroococcidiopsidales; Chroococcidiopsidaceae. The record is from RNAcentral.
CUAGCCGUAAACGAUGGAUACUAGGCGUUGAGAGGAUCGACCCUCGCAGUGCCGUAGCUAACGCGUUAAGUAUCCCGCCUGGGGAGUACGCGCGCAAGCGUGAAACUCAAAGGAAUUGACGGGGGCCCGCACAAGCGGUGGAGUAUGUGGUUUAAUUCGAUGCAACGCGAAGAACCUUACCAGGGCUUGACAUGUCCGGAACCCUGCCCAAAGGCGGGGGUGCCUACGGGAACCGGAACACAGGUGGUGC